GGGGGAUAUUGCACAAUGGAGGAAACUCUGAUGCAGCGACGCCGCGUGAGUGAAGAAGUAUUUCGGUAUGUAAAGCUCUAUCAGCAGGGAAGAAAGACCUCGCAAGAGGGGAUGACGGUACCUGAAUAAGAAGCCCCGGCUAACUACGUGCCAGCAGCCGCGGUAAUACGUAGGGGGCAAGCGUUAUCCGGAUUUACUGGGUGUAAAGGGAGCGCAGACGGAAUGACAAGUCUGGAGUGAAAGCCCGCGGCUCAACCGCGGGACUGCUUUGGAAACUGCCAUUCUGGAGUGUUGGAAGGGUAAGUGGAAUUCCUGGUGUAGCGGUGAAAUGCGUAGAUAUCAGGAGGAACACCGGUGGCGAAGGCGACUUACUGGACAAUAACUGACGUUGAGGCUCGAGAGCGUGGGUAGCAAAC
RNAcentral lists this ribosomal RNA (416 nucleotides) under uncultured bacterium. RNAcentral's name for it is "bacterial SSU rRNA". It matches the Rfam family "Bacterial small subunit ribosomal RNA", at positions 356 to 773 of the family's 1533-position model. The record is from RNAcentral.